This is a non-coding RNA of 363 nucleotides. It matches the Rfam family "Alphaproteobacteria transfer-messenger RNA". Rfam says of the family: Bacterial tmRNA, also known as 10Sa RNA or SsrA, is named for its dual tRNA and mRNA-like properties. Its role is to liberate the mRNA from a stalled ribosome. The record is from Rfam.
GGGGUUUCCUUUGCCGGGGAGAGCGCCUAUAUCAGGGCUGCUGGGUAACCAGCUACGGCAAUAAACGGUCAGUGCAAUAAACCUAUCGGACCCGGGGGCGGUACCCGGCGCCUCCACCACAGGGCAUCAGGCAAGAGCCAGGUGCCUUGCGGCGGGGGCGAAAUAGGAUCGACGAGGGCGUAAAGACUGUACUUUUGCUCGGCAUUGUACCACCGUCAUCGGGCUAUCUUAAUAGUUGCAAACGACAACUAUGCUUCGGACGUCGCUGUCGCUGCGUAAUGCGGUGCCAGUAGUCCACUAAAGCCCUUCCGGGUAGCACCGGAAGGCGGGGUCCGGAGGCACCUGGCAACAGAAGCCUCCACU